RNAcentral lists this ribosomal RNA (253 nucleotides) under uncultured bacterium. RNAcentral describes it as "partial 16S ribosomal RNA". It matches the Rfam family "Bacterial small subunit ribosomal RNA", at positions 524 to 776 of the family's 1533-position model. The record is from RNAcentral.
UACAGAGGGUGCAAACGUUGUUCGGAAUUACUGGGCGUAAAGCGCGUGCAGGCGGCCUUGCAAGUCGGACGUGAAAUCCCACGGCUCAACCGUGGAAGUGCAUUCGAAACUGCGAGGCUGGAGUCCUGGAGAGGAAAGUGGAAUACUCGGUGUAGAGGUGAAAUUCGUAGAUAUCGAGUGGAACACCGGUGGCGAAGGCGGCUUUCUGGACAGGUACUGACGCUGAGACGCGAAAGCGUGGGGAGCGAACAGG